CAAACACUUACUUUCCAUUUUAUUCAAUAAUUGCUUUAAUACUAAAAUGCAUUAGAUGCUCAAAGCAGAGAAAAGAAAAUCACAUUUAGGUGGAAAACAAAGUUCUCAUCAGAUGAAAAAAUCCCAAUGUGGCAGGUACACCAUUUGGAAACAGAAUCAUAAUAAUUUAAUAAAGCUGCUUUAUCAUCUUCAUAAAAUAGACAGAAUGGUGAUUCUUCUUUUUUUUUUUUCCUUUUUCCAUUUUGUUGUUUACAAUGAUUCAAUCACUGUGAAAAUGUACAUAACAUACAUAUCAGCAUAUACAACGAUUUAUUCUUCAUAUACUCGGCAACGGAGACACCAUGACGAGACGUACCGCGCUCGGUGCCGCGCCGCGGCUGCUGCUGGGGCCGGGCUCUGCGAGGGGUCUGGAGACCCUGCCCCAGCUCAGAUCAGCUGGGUGAGCCGGGCUCUGCGAGGGGUCUGGAGACCCUGCCCCAGCUCAGAUCAGCUGAGUGAGCCGGGCUCUGGGAGGGGUCUGGAGACCCCACCCCAGCUCAGAUCAGCUGAGCAGAACCAGUUUUUGUGAGGAGGGGGUCUGCAGGCUCCAGCCCAGCUCAGAUCAGCUGAGCAGAGCCAGUUUUUGUGAGGAGGGGGUCUGCAGGCUCCAGCCCAGCUCAGAUCAGCUGAGCAGAACCAGUUUUUGUGAGGAGGGGGUCUGCAGGCUCCAGCCCAGCUCAGAUCAGCUGAACAUCAGCUGGCACCAGCGGAGCUCCUCUCAGCCUCGCAGGGCUGAUCCCCGGCGGGUACCACAGCUCACAGGUUGGACCAGAGAUCACCCAGAGCUGCAAGAGCAGCUGUAGCAACAAGACCAUCAGUUUUCCCCAAUGACAGACAAAUGUGUUUCCAUUCAAAAUUAGAUUUUUUUUUUUCUCUCCCUCCCCCCCACCCCCCCACCCCGAAGAAUAAUUUCAACAUAUUCAUCAGACAGUGUGUUCUUCACAAAAGCAACUCGUUUCCUGUUUGGAAAAAUAAAAAUUAAAAAAAAGAAAGGAAUUCACUUUUGCACAAAGUGUGAUCCACAGGCCACCUCCAGCUCACGACAAACAGGGAACAGCAACAACCUCAGCAGACAGUGCUUGGGGGGGAUUUUUCCAGCCAUCAGUUGUGCCCCCCAGCCCUCCACCACCCCUCCCAGCACAGCCCUGCAGCCUCGAGGGUGGGAAAGGCCAGGGGCUCCCGAGGGAGCAGGGCAGAGCUCAGCCCCUGGCCCCAGCCCCAGAGCUGCUCCAGAUGGGGUCCUCGUCAUGCUCGGGGGAGAAUCGUCGGUGCUUGCUGCUCUCCUGCAUCAACAGGAGCAGAGCAAGUUUGCCUGAAGGAAACCAACAGAUCCCAGCGACUUUUCCUAAACCAAAUCUGAGGACAGGUUUAAGUUAUUAAAAAGCACAAUAAUUACAUCUGGAACCCUUCCAAAAAGCCUUCCUGCCCGCCCAGCAGCUCAGAACAUUUUUUGCAUGGCCAGUUUCGAUGCAAGUAGGAAAAAACCAAGAGACUGCAAUUUGCCCAGGAGCCUGAACUCAUCUCGAGUGACACAGAGGGACGGUGACAGGAGUACCAAAAUGCUCUGGAGAGGGCCAAGGCAGCAAAGCCAGGGCAGCUCUCUGGGUCUCCCCUUGGCCCUGCACAGCAAGGCCACACCAGGGAAGGGCCCCUCGCUCACAGCCCCCACUGCAGCCCGGGUCAGCCCAGAAAACUGGUGUUUAAAUGAUUUUCUUGGAGGCAUAAGGGUUUACUGACCUCUUUAAUGCCCCCUUUUAAUACAGAAUUAUUUCACAUUCUUUCUCGGCUGUGCUUUUAUUCAGAGUGGCAAGGAACGUUUCCUCUGGGUAAAUUAGAGAAAUGUUUCUAUUUUUUCUUUUUUUUUACCCUCUCUUCCUUUUCAGUUAGCAUCUAUUUUUCAUCCAAAACACAAGGCUGGUGGUGGCAGCUCCACGGGCAGGGGGCAAUGCUUGGCAGGAAUUAGCAGCCAGCACUUUUCCAGAGCUGGGGAUGGUGCUGGGGCACCUGGGGGUCCCCAGGGGCCAUGGGGAAGCUGGGUCUCCUCCUGGCAGGGGCGUGGGGUGAUGCUGGGGCCACAUGCAGGAGCCCUGUGAAGCCCAGAGCACCUGACAGACAGGGCAAGGCAGGGUCUGUCUCUCAGCAAACACACAGGAGAAGUUCUGCCCCCACCCCAAAAAACCCUCCCAGAGCUGACAAAACCAGGAAACAUCAGAAUAAACUCAGCUUAACAGUCACAGAACACCCAGUUACUGCAACAGCCCCGAGCCAGUCCCUCUCCUCCUUGCUUGUGUUAUAAUAAAACACACAUUUGGGGAAAAAAACCAGAAAUCAAUGACAGCAGUAACAGUACACAGGCAGGAAACACAGCGGGAACAGAAACAACAUAUCCCUGAAGAAUGGGCUCAGAAUCCAGAAGAGGGGAGAAACCCCCAGUUUGCUUUCUGGAGGGAUGCAGGACAUCAUGUUAACACAUGGGAUGGGAGCUCAAUGAGGUAGUCAUCACACCAGUGAGGGAAGCAUCACAAAUUCCAUUAGACAACUGUUUUCUUGUUGAUUCUUUCCCAAUUCCUGGCUCUAGCAAGUGGCAGGGGGAACAGGCUGACUCUGGACCUGUCUCAGACCAGCUGUGGCUUCAGGCAAGAUCAAUCUGCCCUGAAGAAAUAAAUGGCUGGAGUUUAAUUUUAUUUUGAGGAUAAUAACAACUGGAACUUGUUUUCUUGCUAUUUUUCAUUUAAAUAAAUCAAGUAACAAAUACUUUAUCAUGAUAUGUAGACCUAGAAAGUCUCUUUCUCUAGAAACCACUAAUUUCAACUUGCUGGUACAGCAAACAUUGGCAAGAGCUAUAUAUUUUUCCUUCCAUAAUCGAUUUUAAACUCUAGGAAACAUUAUUGAGGGUAGGAAAAAUCCGUUCAGUGAAGGGUUAAUAAUAAUAGCAAAAAUAAUAAUAAUAAUAAUAAUAAUUAACACUAACUGAAAUCCUCCUACCUUACUCAUACCUCACUGAGGAAUCAUCACUGCAAGAGAGCAGAGAGCUGUGGAAUCCCUUCCCUCUCUCCCUUCUACAAAAUGGCUAUUAAAGUAGCUCAAUUUUCAAUUCAAUUUUACAUGAGUAGAUUUGUACCCACAGAAAAAAGUCCUUAAUUAUGAGAAAAAAUAAAGAAUUGCUUUAAUUUUUUCUCCAUUAAGAAGGCACAUUAAUUGAAUUAGUAGCGUUGUUACAUAUCACCUGUCUGCCCCUAAAUUAACAUCACUAUUGCUCAUUCCAUACCUAUUUAUGAUGCAGGGAUAGAAAGAAAUCAGAAGGGUCCAAAACCCAAGCCAUGAUGUCAUACCCACAUACACCCUCUUGGUGCAAUCAUGGCUAGGAAACGCUGACUGGGAAGUGUGUGUGUCUAAUUGAGAAGGUAAUUUAGAUCUCUUAAAAUAAUUCCAUCUCUUUGACUUGGAAAUGACUGGAGGCGAGGGAUAGCUAAAUCUGGGAACUGGAAAAAAACCAAAAUAACCAACUUGUGGAAAAAAAAAACCUUUCCAUGCAUUGCCUUGAAAUUAUGCAAAAGAAA
Long non-coding RNA from Passer montanus (Eurasian tree sparrow), 3599 nucleotides. RefSeq lists it as uncharacterized. The record is from RefSeq and is a predicted model, not a curated record. The transcript has 2 exons. NCBI's taxonomy places the organism in Eukaryota, Metazoa, Chordata, Aves, Passeriformes, Passeridae.